GCCACCUUAGCUCAGCCGGCAGAGCAGCACUUUCGUAAAGUGAAGGUCCCGAGUUCGAAUCUCGGAGGUGGCU
Molecule: transfer RNA, 73 nt
Filed under: bacterium
Lineage: Bacteria
Description: tRNA-Thr
Rfam family: tRNA
About the family: Transfer RNA (tRNA) molecules are approximately 80 nucleotides in length. Their secondary structure includes four short double-helical elements and three loops (D, anti-codon, and T loops).
Source: RNAcentral